Molecule: ribosomal RNA, 440 nt
Filed under: uncultured bacterium
Lineage: Bacteria
Description: partial 16S ribosomal RNA
Rfam family: Bacterial small subunit ribosomal RNA
Source: RNAcentral
CCUACGGGGUGCAGCAGUGGGGGAUAUUGCACAAUGGGGGAAACCCUGAUGCAGCGACGCCGCGUGGGUGAAGAAGCGCCUCGGCGCGUAAAGCCCUGUCAGCAGGGAAGAAAAUGACGGUACCUGAAGAAGAAGCCCCGGCUAACUACGUGCCACCAGCCGCGGGAAUACGUAGGGGGCAAGCGUUAGCCGGAUUUACUGGGUGAAAAGGGGGCGCAGACGGCGAGGCAAGACAGGAGCGAAAGCCCGGGGCCCAACCCCGGGACUGCUCUGGGUACUGGCUGGCUAGAGUGCAGGAGGGGCAGGCGGAAUUCCUGGUGUAGCGGUGAAAUGCGUAGAUAUCAGGAGGAACACCGGUGGCGAAGGCGGCCUGCUGGACUGCAACUGACGUUGAGGUCCGAAAGCGUGGGGAGCAAACAGGAUUAGAUACCCGGGUAGUC